This 584-nucleotide ribosomal RNA is filed under the name uncultured Ascomycota. RNAcentral describes it as "eukaryotic LSU rRNA". The stretch from base 218 to 371 matches the Rfam family "5.8S ribosomal RNA". Lineage: Eukaryota; Fungi; Ascomycota. The record is from RNAcentral.
CUUGGUCAUUUAGAGGAAGUAAAAGUCGUAACAAGGUCUCCGUUGGCGAACCAGCGGAGGGAUCAUUACCGAGUUUACAACUCCCAAACCCCUGUGAACAUACCUAUACGUUGCCUCGGCGGAUCAGCCCGCGCCCCGUAAAAAGGGACGGCCCGCCCGAGGACCCCUAAACUCUGUUUUUAGUGGAACUUCUGAGUAAAACAAACAAAUAAAUCAAAACUUUCAACAACGGAUCUCUUGGUUCUGGCAUCGAUGAAGAACGCAGCAAAAUGCGAUAAGUAAUGUGAAUUGCAGAAUUCAGUGAAUCAUCGAAUCUUUGAACGCACAUUGCGCCCGCCAGUAUUCUGGCGGGCAUGCCUGUUCGAGCGUCAUUUCAACCCUCAAGCUCAGCUUGGUGUUGGGACUCGCGGUAACCCGCGUUCCCCAAAUCGAUUGGCGGUCACGUCGAGCUUCCAUAGCGUAGUAAUCAUACACCUCGUUACUGGUAAUCGUCGCGGCCACGCCGUAAAACCCCAACUUCUGAAUGUUGACCUCGGAUCAGGUAGGAAUACCCGCUGAACUUAUGCAUAUCAAUAAGCGGAGGA